This 25-nucleotide transfer RNA is filed under the name Correa reflexa var. reflexa. RNAcentral's name for it is "partial tRNA-Lys". The record is from RNAcentral. Lineage: Eukaryota; Viridiplantae; Streptophyta; Magnoliopsida; Sapindales; Rutaceae.
CCGACUAGUUCCGGGUUCGAGUCCC